The sequence is an unclassified non-coding RNA, 237 nucleotides long. The stretch from base 81 to 154 matches the Rfam family "tRNA".
AAGGAAAUAAAUAAAAUCAAUCAUCUUCAGUUUUGAAAGACUUACAAUACCAUAAGUUUUUCUCUUUUUAAGGAACAAAAGGGCCUAUAGCUCAGUUGGUUAGAGCACACGCCUGAUAAGCGUGAGGUCGGUGGUUCAAGUCCAUUUAGGCCCACCAACCACGUAGGUACCCGUUCCUUAAAAAAAAGUUCUUUGAAAAUUAGAUAAACAACCAUGAUGAUUUUUACCAAAUUAAAG